Molecule: long non-coding RNA, 860 nt
Filed under: Homo sapiens (human)
Lineage: Eukaryota; Metazoa; Chordata; Mammalia; Primates; Hominidae
Description: long intergenic non-protein coding RNA 632
Source: RNAcentral
AGACAGCCUCAGAGCUGGUGGGGAGACAGCAUGCCACUGGAAAAAUUCGUAGACAUGGAAUUCCUGGAUCAAAUGGUCACCGAUUGUUUCAGCAUCACUUAUUGAAUAAUCCAACGCAACAACUGUUCUUCCAUUAGAUAGGGUGUAGCUUUCCACAGAUACUAAGGGGGACUUGCCUGGAAGCAGACUUGUGUCCGCAGUAUACAAACUCACCCUUUAAUGCACACACUGACCAGAUAACACAAACACAUUUACCCCCACAGCACCUAGACUCUUCUCACAGUACACACACUUGCCUUCCAGUACACAGACAUAUCCAAAGGCACACCGACAAGCACCACAGCAAAAAGAUGUUCCCCAGAACACAUGGACACCCCAAUCCCCGUAUCAUUAGACUCUCCCAGAGGCACGUAUGUACUGCUUAAUGCAGAGACUCACCUGAGGCACACUGAUGCACCCCGCAUGACACAGACUUGCCCCCCCAUAAGGACUCUACUAUGACACACAGACAAUCCCAACAUCACACACUGUUCCCACAUCACACGAACCCAUUUUAGGAAACACACAGCAUACAGACUUACCCCAUAGAACACGGCUUCCCCGACAAGCACACAUACUCUCAAGGCCAGUAGACUCACCCCACAGCACACAGACUUUCUCUAGAGUGUACAGCUUCUUCCCACAGCAAACAGACUCUCCCCAGGGCACACAGACACCCCUGACAUCACAUACUCUCACCACAGACCAUAGACUCGUCCUAGAGCACAGGGACUCUUGCCAAUGAAACAGACUUUCCCGAGAAUAGACUCAUGAGACAGCUUGAAGACCCGCAUCAUGACACAAAGACUCUCCCACAACAG